GAACGCUCUUCCUCAAAAAUAUCAACGUCGCUGCAUCAUCAAGCUAACCAUAACUCGGGAAAAUAUACACCGAACGCUGAAACAUUGCCUCAAUUUUAUAUAACAUGGCAACUCCGUCCGAGCCUUCACGCCGCAGCCCCGCCCGACCCGCCGAGGAGGGAGCCUAGAAGCGUGCAGCUCUUAAUUUACAAUAAUACCAAUAAUACAUCAUUGGGAGGGUUCACUCACCCCCUCCGAGGCGACGCCGAGUAGGUGGAGCGGCCGUCCCUGGUGUCUGCCCCGUCUGCCGCCAAUGCUUGAUCACAGAGACACCAACAACAGCCUCGUGACCUCCAACUCGACUGUCAACAAGAUUACUAAAAGAAAAUGGGAUAUUUUUUACCGUAUCAUGAAGCAUUGUUUUUGCUGACGAGGAACUUCUUGCUCCGGUGAUCUGCAUUGUUUCAAGACUACACCGUCAUCGAGGGAAAUAGCCUUGAAAGCUCCAGUUAAAGAGAACUUAAGAAACUGAACAAAUUUAACAAGUACAGGUCGUUCGUCUUCGUAGGAGCAUGGGAGGAGCAGAGGAGUGAGCGUUUGUCCUGGCUAGCGGAGUGCGGAAACCGAUCAUCAGUAUUGCUCCAGUCACCACGUUUUUAGAAGCGGCCAAUGAGAAGAAAGCAGCGAAUAAAACGUCUGGUAUUGCAUGAUACUAGUAUUUUAUCUCUACGCAGGUGUCUCCCGCACGCACCUGGAGGCUUGAUUGGUCUCUCUUUGUACCUUCACUACCUCCGAUACCACGCAUUCGCAAAGCAGGCUUCAGUGUCCAUAUUGCCCUGACGAGUUGCGGAAAAAGUAAUCAUAAAACGUCAUAUAACUCCCUGGGUCGUAAAUUUCCUGCGUGUGUGUGUGUGUGUGUGUGUGUGUGUGUGUGUGUGUGUGUGUGUGUGUGUGUGUGUGUGUGUGUGUGUGUGUGUGUGUGUUCAUUUACUACGUUUGAAAAAAAAGUGUUGCUCUGAAAUAUAUGUAGUGUUAAGUCUGUAAAAUUUUCGGUAUGUCUAAAAUUGUCUGUGCUGGUCUUCUUUUUUGUGUGAAUUUGUAAAUGAUAAAAACUGAUAAAAUAAAUCGGCCUUGCUUUGUUUCCCUUACUGUAUUUGUUUCUUAUUUACAUUUUUGUGUUUGUGUUUGUAUAUUUGUAUGUAUGUGUUAAUUUUCAAGGUGGUGCUGUAACUGUGCUAAAACAAAUUUCAGUUCUAUAUCUACACCAUUUCCUAGUUUGUUUUCUUAGUCGUCAUUGUAGGGAAGACUGUACUAUGUUUGCUC
Molecule: long non-coding RNA, 1302 nt
Organism: Eriocheir sinensis (Chinese mitten crab)
Lineage: Eukaryota; Metazoa; Arthropoda; Malacostraca; Decapoda; Varunidae
Exons: 4
Source: RefSeq, a predicted model, not a curated record